UAGUCCACGCCGUAAACGAUGGAUACUAGCUGUUCGAUCUUCGGAUUGAGUGGCUAAGCGAAAGUGAUAAGUAUCCCACCUGGGGAGUACGUUCGCAAGAAUGAAACUCAAAGGAAUUGACGGGGGCCCGCACAAGCGGUGGAGCAUGUGGUUUAAUUCGAUGAUACGCGAGGAACCUUACCAGGGCUUAAAUGUAGUCUGACAGCUUUAGAGAUAAAGUUUUCUUCGGACAGAUUACAAGGUGCUGCAUGGUUGUCGUCAGCUCGUGCCGUGAGGUGUCAGGUUAAGUCCUAUAACGAGCGCAACCCCUGUCGUUAGUUGCCAGCAAGUAAAGUUGGGCACUCUAGCGAGACUGCCGGUGCAAACCGCGAGGAAGGUGGGGAUGACGUCAAAUCAUCACGGGCCCUUACGUCCUGGGGCUACACACGUGCUACAAUGGCCGGGUACAGAGAGCAGCCACUCCGCGAGGGAAGAGC
RNAcentral lists this ribosomal RNA (476 nucleotides) under uncultured bacterium. RNAcentral describes it as "bacterial SSU rRNA". It matches the Rfam family "Bacterial small subunit ribosomal RNA", at positions 791 to 1268 of the family's 1533-position model. The record is from RNAcentral.